Molecule: ribosomal RNA, 884 nt
Filed under: uncultured bacterium adhufec08.25
Lineage: Bacteria
Description: bacterial SSU rRNA
Rfam family: Bacterial small subunit ribosomal RNA
Source: RNAcentral
CGAACGCUGGCGGNGCGCCUAACACAUGCAAGUCGAACGAGNGAGAGAGAGCUUGCUUUNUCGAGCGAGUGGCGAACGGGUGAGUAACGCGUGAGGAACCUGCCUCAAAGAGGGGGACAACAGUUGGAAACGACUGCUAAUACCGCAUAAGCCCACGGGUCGGCAUCGACCAGAGGGAAAAGGAGCAAUCCGCUUUGAGAUGGCCUCGCGUCCGAUUAGCUAGUUGGUGAGGUAACGGCCCACCAAGGCGACGAUCGGUAGCCGGACUGAGAGGUUGAACGGCCACAUUGGGACUGAGACACGGCCCAGACUCCUACGGGAGGCAGCAGUGGGGAAUAUUGCACAAUGGGGGAAACCCUGAUGCAGCGACGCCGCGUGGAGGAAGAAGGUNUUCGGAUUGUAAACCCCUGUCGUUAGGGACGAUAAUGACGGUACCUAACAAGAAAGCACCGGCUAACUACGUGCCAGCAGCCGCGGUAAAACGUAGGGUGCAAGCGUUGUCCGGAAUUACUGGGUGUAAAGGGAGCGCAGGCGGGAAGACAAGUUGGAAGUGAAAACCAUGGGCUCAACCCAUGAAUUGCUUUCAAAACUGUUUUUCUUGAGUAGUGCAGAGGUAGAUGGAAUUCCCGGUGUAGCGGUGGAAUGCGUAGAUAUCGGGAGGAACACCAGUGGCGAAGGCGGUCUACUGGGCACCAACUGACGCUGAGGCUCGAAAGCAUGGGUAGCAAACAGGAUUAGAUACCCUGGUAGUCCAUGCCGUAAACGAUGAUUACUAGGUGUUGGGGGAUUGACCCCCUCAGUGCCGCAGUUAACACAAUAAGUAAUCCACCUGGGGAGUACGACCGCAAGGUUGAAACUCAAAGGAAUUGACGGGGGCCCGCACA